ACGGAAGGCAGCAGUGGGGAAUAUUGCACAAUGGGCGAAAGCCUGAUGCAGCGACGCCGCGUGAGUGAAGAAGUAUCUCGGUAUGUAAAGCUCUAUCAGCAGGGAAGAAAAUGACGGUACCUGACUAAGAAGCCCCGGCUAACUACGUGCCAGCAGCCGCGGUAAUACGUAGGGGGCAAGCGUUAUCCGGAUUUACUGGGUGUAAAGGGAGCGUAGACGGUUUGGCAAGUCUGAAGUGAAAUGCGGGGGCUCAACUCCUGAACUGCUUUGGAAACUGUCGAACUAGAGUGCAGGAGAGGUAAGUGGAAUUCCUAGUGUAGCGGUGAAAUGCGUAGAUAUUAGGAGGAACACCAGUGGCGAAGGCGGCUUACUGGACUGUAACUGACGUUGAGGCUCAAAAGCGUGGGGAGCAAACAGGAUUAGAUACCCUGGUA
RNAcentral lists this ribosomal RNA (434 nucleotides) under uncultured Clostridium sp. RNAcentral describes it as "partial 16S ribosomal RNA". It matches the Rfam family "Bacterial small subunit ribosomal RNA", at positions 341 to 792 of the family's 1533-position model. RNAcentral also lists the same sequence under 1 other name. The record is from RNAcentral. Lineage: Bacteria; Bacillati; Bacillota; Clostridia; Eubacteriales; Clostridiaceae.